UCGCUAACCCUUUCCAGGCCCCGCCCCCAUUCUAGACCGCAUCCUACAUGCUGUUCCCUACCAGUGCCUUCUAAACCCCGCCCCUCUAGGCCAUCUUCUGCCACAGAGGAAACCUGGUGUCUUCUGUUCUCCUGGACCUCGCUGCUUUUAUACGAUUCUCCUUCCUCAUCUUGCCUUUUCAUUAAACAAGGAGCCCUACGGACUGGCAUCGAUCGUGCUGUGCACUGAUUCGAGAGCAAAUCAAAGAAGGAGGACGUUCAGAAGGGACAUCUCGGGGACUCCUGCUGCGCUUGGCGAUGACGUAGUCGGGUGAUUAGUCUGAGAUAAAGGCUAUGGCUAUAGACUAAUAAGGCCUGUGGCUGCAGGCAGCCAAAAUGACAGUGAUGAUAAGCGUUGAGAAGUUUCUGAGUUAAUAGUCACUACCAUGUGCUGGGGAUGGAAUCCAGAGACUCACACACACUGGACAAGUGCUUUGCCACUAAACUACACCCUCCAGCCUGGCACAGGAGUUCUGCUGCAAAGGUGGUGGUGGCACACGCUUUUUAAUCCCAGCACUCGGGAGGCAGAGGCUGGAGGAUCUCUGUGAAUUUGAGGCCAGCCUGGCUACAGAGUGAGUUCCAGAACAGGCUCCAAAGCUACCGAGAAACCCUGUCUCGAAAAGCAAAACAAACAAACAAAUACAUACAUAAGAAUCAUUUCUUGGGGCUGGAGAGAUGGCUCAGAGGUUAAGAGCACUGAUUGUUCUUCCAGAGGUCCUGAGUUUAAUUCCCAGCAACCACAUGGUGGCUCACAACCAUCUGUAAUGAGAUCUGGUGCCUUCUUCUGGCCUGCAGGCACACAUGCAGACAGAACACUG
This is a long non-coding RNA of Alexandromys fortis (reed vole), 856 nucleotides long. RefSeq lists it as uncharacterized. Lineage: Eukaryota; Metazoa; Chordata; Mammalia; Rodentia; Cricetidae. The record is from RefSeq and is a predicted model, not a curated record. The transcript is spliced from 4 exons.